RNAcentral lists this long non-coding RNA (1334 nucleotides) under Capra hircus (goat). RNAcentral's name for it is "lncRNA (ENSCHIG00010013586.1)". Lineage: Eukaryota; Metazoa; Chordata; Mammalia; Artiodactyla; Bovidae. The record is from RNAcentral.
AUGCUCUUCUCUCCUUGUUUGCUGGAGGAAGAGGGGAGAAGGAGGUCUAACCUGAUCAGAGUUCCACCCAGGAAAGGCAUCAGAAACCACAGUUUUGAUCCUGAAGUAGAACAGUCUUGGGCAGGGAGCCACAUGACACUAUUUGUCUUGCUUUUCUUUCCCUGUCCAUCCUUCACCUUCUCCUUUCUCAUUGUGUUUUCCUAGUGGAUUUAACCUUCUGGGUUGUUCUCUAGGCACCCUCGUCUCUUAUUCCUUCCACCCCCAACAUCCCCACUGUGUGACAGUCCCCUCCUCCCUCGCGAUCCGUCGUGGAUGUUUGUGCCUUUCCUGCCUUUGGCCACAGCUUGUGGCAGCUGUUGGGGAGACCCUGCUAAUGCAGUGAAAUAAAGUCAGAAAGCUGGAUUAACUCGAGUGGCUUUCUUUCACAUUUAGGACUGCNNNNNNNNNNNNNNNNNNNNNNNNNNNNNNNNNNUUUAGUGUGGAAAAUCAAAUCAUCUUAUACAAACACAAAUGAGUCCAGACCGUUAUUAUCCUAAUGUAAUUGGACAAUGAACUCUGAUUACAGGUGUCAGUUCCUGCCUUUCUUAAGGUAGCGUAGCUAUUCUAGCGAUUGCCAGACUGACGCUCUUUGUAAGGUGUGCAGUUUAUCAUCAGUGUGCUGCAUUUCUUAUGUUUGGCUUCUCUGGACCCAAGACUUGUUGAGUAAGAGGUAUGAGAGCUCUGCCGUACUGGCUUUGUAGGUGUUUCCAGAAAUUUUCUGCAAUGAAAUGUGAUAGAGUGACAAUUGGGGUUGGGGAUCAAGCUGGUCAUCAAACAAAGUUACCCCAGGCAAAGUCUGCUUACGCGUCACUUCGCUCCUGAGAAGGGAUGCACAUUCAGGAAGGAAAUACUUAGGUUGAGAUNNNNNNNNNNNNNNNNNNNNNNNNNNGCUUGUCAGUAGGAAAUAAUUUACUGACUGGCUCAGGUAAAGAUGCCCAUCUAUUCUGGAAAAUGUCAUUGCUCUCUCUAUAUUAAAUAACAUAUGAUUAAAAUCAUAUUUGUGGAGAUUUAAUCACCAUGCAAUCAGUGUCUUCUGUGAGUGGCUGCCUACUUGGUGACAAGGAUCCACUGCCCUACUGAACUGAACUGAAGUCCUCUGUCUUAAUUACUCUAGGAGGAUAGUUAAUUUGAUGGGGCUGGGUUUUAUAGACCUGCCAAGGGCAGAUUUUGUGUGUACACAGCCGAGCACACUUCUGUGCGAGGGGCAGAGAUCACUGCUCUGCCCAGUCUUGCCUUUGCUCACCUGUGCCCUCCUCAUGGAAAACCCACUCUCCUUCACCCUCCCUUCUAGACUG